GCCUAAAAUUUAGCCCAACCUAACUUUAAUAACCCCUUCUAACUACCCCCACAAAAUAAAACAUUCUAAUGUCUUAGUAAAGGUGAUUGAAAAUUUAACUGGAGCAAUAAAAAUAGUACCGCAAGGGAAAAAUGAAAUAAUAAUGAAAUAAUACCAAGCAUAACAAAGUAGAGAUAUAACCUCGUACCUUUUGCAUCAUGGUCUAACUAGUCUAAUCAAGCAAAAAGCUAUUGCAGUUUGACCCCCCGAAACUAAGCGAGCUACUUCAAGGCAGCUUUCUGAGCCAACCCGUCUCUGUUGCAAAAGAGUGGGACGACCUUCAAGUAGGGGUGACAGACCUAACGAGCUUAGUGAUAGCUGGUUACUCAAGAAAAGAAUUUUAGUCCAACCUAGAGUUUUAUUUUUACACUAAAAAUUUAUCUUAAGCUCUAGAGCAACUCAAGUAAGGUACAGCCUAUUUGAGACAGGAUACAACCUCAACUGACGGGUAAUUAAACUCUUAAAAACCAAUCUAGUGGGCCUAAAAGCAGCCACCUUUAAAAAGCGUCAAAGCUUCACUGAUACUUAAAAUAAUCCCUAAACCUAUCUUCAACCCUCUACCCAUAUUGAGUAAUUCUAUGCUUUCAUAGAACCUAUAAUGUUAAAACUAGUAACAAGAAGUUACCCCUUCUCUUUAAUGCAAGCAUAAAUCAGUAAGGACAAACCACUGAUAAUUAACGUCUGUGAAUUUAUAUCAGCAACUUCCCACAAGAAAACCCUCAUACACACUUAACGUUAAACUAACACAAGAGCAUUCCAAGAAAGAUUAAAAGAAAAAGAAGGAACUCGGCAAACCUUAACCCCGCCUGUUUACCAAAAACAUCGCCUCUUGACCAGUAUAAGAGGUCCAGCCUGCCCAGUGACCACAGUUCAACGGCCGCGGUAUCCUAACCGUGCGAAGGUAGCGUAAUCACUUGUUCUUUAAAUGAGGACUAGUAUGAAUGGCAUCACGAGGGUUAUACUGUCUCCUUUUUCUAAUCAGUGAAACUAAUCUCCCCGUGAAGAAGCGGGGAUAACUAUAUAAGACGAGAAGACCCUAUGGAGCUUUAAAUUUUAUUACAACUGCUUAGCUCAUUCCCCAGUCCUGACUUCGCCUAUUAAGCCCAGCAUUAUGAUAAUAAAUUUUAGGUUGGGGUGACCACGGAGUACAAAAAAACCUCCGCAUUGAACUAAGCCUUAAAGCUUUUAACAAAGAACUACGACUCAAUGUAAUAGUACACUAACACCCAUUGACCCAAUAUUUUGAUCAACGAACCAAGUUACCCUAGGGAUAACAGCGCAAUCCACUUAAAGAGCCCCUAUCGACAAGUGGGUUUACGACCUCGAUGUUGGAUCAGGGUAUCCCGGUGGUGCAGCCGCUACCAAAGGUUCGUUUGUUCAACGAUUAAAACCCU
RNAcentral lists this ribosomal RNA (1433 nucleotides) under Scinax argyreornatus. RNAcentral's name for it is "partial 16S large subunit ribosomal RNA". It matches the Rfam family "Bacterial large subunit ribosomal RNA", at positions 338 to 2597 of the family's 2925-position model. Lineage: Eukaryota; Metazoa; Chordata; Amphibia; Anura; Hylidae. The record is from RNAcentral.